Molecule: ribosomal RNA, 222 nt
Filed under: uncultured bacterium
Lineage: Bacteria
Description: partial 16S ribosomal RNA
Rfam family: Bacterial small subunit ribosomal RNA
Source: RNAcentral
AGUAACACAUCGGAACGUGUCCAUAAGUGGGGGAUAGCCCGGCGAAAGCCGGAUUAAUACCGCAUACGAUCUACGGAUGAAAGCUGGGGAUCGCAAGACCUGGCGCUUUAGGAGCGGCCGAUGUCCGAUUAGCUAGUUGGUGGGGUAAAGGCCUACCAAGGCGACGAUCGGUAGCUGGUCUGAGAGGAUGAUCAGCCACACUGGGACUGAGACACGGCCCAG